This 492-nucleotide ribosomal RNA is filed under the name uncultured bacterium. RNAcentral's name for it is "partial 16S ribosomal RNA". It matches the Rfam family "Bacterial small subunit ribosomal RNA", at positions 29 to 507 of the family's 1533-position model. The record is from RNAcentral.
AGUGAACGCUGGCGGUAGGCCUAACACAUGCAAGUCGAACGGCAGCACAGUAAGAGCUUGCUCUUACGGGUGGCGAGUGGCGGACGGGUGAGGAAUACAUCGGAAUCUACUUUUUCGUGGGGGAUAACGUAGGGAAACUUACGCUAAUACCGCAUACGACCUACGGGUGAAAGCAGGGGAUCUUCGGACCUUGCGCGAUUGAAUGAGCCGAUGUCGGAUUAGCUAGUUGGCGGGGUAAAGGCCCACCAAGGCGACGAUCCGUAGCUGGUGUGAGAGGAUGAUCAGCCACACUGGAACUGAGACACGGUCCAGACUCCUACGGGAGGCAGCAGUGGGGAAUAUUGGACAAAGGGCGCAAGCCUGAUCCAGCCAUACCGCGUGGGUGAAGAAGGCCUUCGGGUUGUAAAGCCCUUUUGUUGGGAAAGAAAAGCAGCAGGUUAAUACCCCGCUGUUCUGACGGUACCCAAAGAAUAAGCACCGGCUAACUUCGUG